Molecule: unclassified non-coding RNA, 2297 nt
Filed under: Hevea brasiliensis (rubber tree)
Lineage: Eukaryota; Viridiplantae; Streptophyta; Magnoliopsida; Malpighiales; Euphorbiaceae
Source: RNAcentral
ACUCCCUCGCCGCCCGCAUUCUCGUAAGCAAAUUACACUGGCUCUUCGUCUCUUUUUACUAAUUAUUUCCAUAAAUUUUUAAUUUUUUUAAUUUCUGUACACCAUUGUUAUUAUUGUGUGUUUCUUCUACUAAGCUUGACUGCAAAAUGGAAGAUAACAGAAAACCAGUUCUAUUUUGCUAACUUGCGCCGGAGGUGUUGCUGCUUUUUCCAGUUAGCUUUUUUGAAGCUUUUCUCCUUUUCUGGCCUUCUCCUCUGUUUGCGUGUUUCUUCCUGGCGCACGCAUCACUGCCUCCGGCUAAUUCGCUUUGAAAUUGGUGAAAAUGCCUUCAUUCCUCGUCCCUUCUUUAGUUCUUUGCCGUGCCGUGUGUGCUAUAUUAUGCUUUUAUUAUCCUCGGCCUUAAUUAUUAAUUAAUUAAUUUUUGGACUGCAAAGUGCUAUCGUGCGCCGAGAGAGGUGCAACGGCUUAUCCUGCGCACGGGUCUUUGAUGAUCGUCGGUGAGUUUUGUAGGUUGGUCGGGGAUGGAUUGAUGUCGAAAUGACCGAUAUGUCCUCGUUUAUUUGACGGAAAUCUCUGUCAUAUAAUAAUUUAGGAAAACUGUCGAAACUGGAGGAAGUUUCUGUGAUGUAGUCGAGGCUAAGUAAAAACCUAUCUGGUUUUAGUUUGGCUCUAUACCUACAAAACAGCUGUACCUGGGUUUUUCGUUGUUGGUGAACUCGGUUUGCUCAGUGAUGGGGUAGUUUGGUCACUUCAAGAAUGUGGGUUUUUGGUCCUUUUAUUUUUCCCUCGUUGACCGUGAUUGGUUGCUGAGAAAACGGAACACAGGACAAGGAAAAAAUCUGAAAUUUUUAAAUUUGUUAGUCAUUUUGUCCUUUGUAUAUUUUUCAUUGCUUUAUUGUUUAAAAAAUAUUUAAAAAAUAAGAGAAAGAAAUGGUCAUCCAGCUAGUCUUUGUUAAAGAAGACUCUGAUGCCUGAUAAAAGAUGUUAUGCUGGAUAAAGAUUUAGCUAGAAAUUGUGAUGUCAUCAGUAUUUUAAUCAGCUUUAUUAUGAUGUUGUUUCCCUCGUUUACAUGCUUGAGCAGAGGAAUCAAGAUGUCUUGAUACAUUAAUCAAGGGGAGUAGUAAUUGGGCUAGAUGAUCAAAUAACUUGAAUCUUUCAAUUCAGCAGAGGCAGAGAUCUUAGUUUAUUUUGGCACGAAAAGAGUUAUUAUCUCCAUGUGCCUAAAUUAUGUAUCUUGCUUUGCUAAUUUUCUUGUUUGUUAAUUCUGCAGCACAGAUUUUCUUCAACAUGCUGCAUCUAUUAAACUCAAUAUUACUUCCAAAUUUAGCUUUUAUUUCCAUAAUCCUUUUGUAAUGUAACAUAAAAAUAUGAUCAACCCUUUCAUAGGCUUGGACCCCAUCAAUUUACCCUAUGAUCUUAUCCGUUACGAAAUUGCUAUAAUCUUCUUACCUGCCUUAAAUGGCACAAUGCUUAUGUCUUCAUUUUCCUGCACCUUUGCAGCGUCAAAAGUUCUAGGGAUUUUGUCAACAUUUCCACAAGAACACAUUUAGUUUGAAAACAAAUUUUCUUUUUCAAAUAAUUAUUCUCUUAGGAUCCUACCAAUUUUUUUUUUAUUUUGCUGGUUAUUAUUUACUAGGAAGUAAUAUGGUGAAUUAAAAGGUCAAAAAGAUGAAUUCAAACAUGCAAGCUGAACUGAAGUUGUAAUAAUGGCAACAAUGAAUCCUUCUGAUCAGGUGGGCUUAAUAUGAAAAUCAUAUCAGUUAUUUAAUUAAAGAGCUGUAAUUUUUUAAUUGUAGAAGUGUACAGGUAUUACAAGGGCUUACAGAACUUCUAACCCUCAAUUAAUAACAUGGGAAAAAAGAGGAAUCUCUGUAGCUGUAUAGCUGAUUCCAAACUACGCCUGAUUGGGUUGAAUUUAGUGAUUAAACUAAGGCAUUUGUUUCUGUCCAUUGAGUGGCUUUUCUGUAUGGUUACUUAUACAAGUAGUCAAGUAUCUUAAUGAAAGUCUAAAUAUUAGCAUUUUGUUAUCUUGUGGCUGCUCCUUUGGAAUCUUAUAUUACUUUUGGCUUUCAAGAUGAGCAUUAGCAUUGCUUAUUAUUCUUGGCUCGCUAGUUUUGUGAUCUUAAGGAUGCUAGGUUUCUGUUGUCAGGAUGAAACUGGUGUAUACAAGAAUCUUCUACAGGAAAUUGCCCAAAGAGUUGGUGCUCCAUUACCGCAGUACACAACAUUCAGGUCAGGCCUGGGGCAUCAACCUGUUUUUACAGGGACAGUUGAGUUGGCUGGAAUUACAUUCACAG